Non-coding RNA from Vicugna pacos (alpaca), 898 nucleotides. The record is from RefSeq and is a predicted model, not a curated record. NCBI's taxonomy places the organism in Eukaryota, Metazoa, Chordata, Mammalia, Artiodactyla, Camelidae.
CCUGCAGCCGUGCGCAGCUCAGCUGGGGCUGCCGGGGCCAGCCCAGCAAGCACAGACUCACGUUACCCAGGCAGAAUUGCAUUCUCUGCUGUCCCUUGUCUUCCUGCAAAUUCCCAGGGCCGUCUGCAGUCCCCCAGGAGCCUGCUUGCAAGCACACAGCAUGGAAGUGAGGAGAAGUCAACAUCCACGGAGAAGCACCAGGCUGGGACCUGUGAACACUGCAGCCUUUAGUCCUGCAGGCCCUCCACGAUCACCUGGCAUGGAUUAAGAUGCUGUUAGCAACAGAAACCUCAAGGAGCACACAACGCCAGCACCUGGGCCUGAGUCCCCUGGAUGAAGUACUUCUGUGUCUGCUAGUUCAUUUUCCAACUGCCAGCACCCGUGACUCCUUGUGGAAGGCUCUGUGUAGCCAGCUAGCACAGUAGAGUUGGAGCUGCCCUCGACUAAUGACUGAUGCUGUUCAACAACAGGAAAGGCAUUGCUGAUGCCGGGUGUAGACAAACCAGUGGAUCCUCAGCACCUUCGCAGGGCCCCAGCUGGUGGGCACCGAGAAAGCCAGGCACGAGGAUGUGUCACGGCCUAGGAUGAGACCCAAGUGCCUGCUGGAGGGGCUGGGCAAGCCCACGACAGCACCUCGGAGCAAGAGAAGACUGAGCAGCUGUUAGAGAAGAGGCGGCAGAGCUCUGGAACCAAGGCGGGGAAAUCUCCAAAUACAUUAGGUCACAGAGAAAAAGGACCUAAGCAUGAAUACUAUGCUACUCCUGGGGUAAAAAUAAAAGGGUGGGGUGGAAGAGGAUUAAACAGUCACUGCAGUGUUUUCUUUCUUAAAAAUAGGUCUGAAAUAAAUAUUGCAAAAUGUCAGCAUUUGUAAAAUCUGGGUGGUGAGUUUCAGUUACGG